This is a non-coding RNA of Sus scrofa (pig), 3296 nucleotides long. Lineage: Eukaryota; Metazoa; Chordata; Mammalia; Artiodactyla; Suidae. The record is from RefSeq and is a predicted model, not a curated record.
UUGAUCUCCAAAGGUUUGCUUCAUUGAGUCUGAUAAUGGUGCAUGACGUGAAGAAUGUGAGCUAUACUCUAGUCUCACAUUACCUGGGUUUUACUUAGUCAUCAGUGUAAUUUAUCUAAGGGCAGCCUGCUGCUAAAAAAAGAGCUCAGCUUGAAGCCUUCUAGCUUACACAGCAGGAGUCUUCUAGAAAUUUUGCCACUGGAUCGAAGUCUAAGACUAGAAGUAAAGAGGAAAUUCCUUUCACUUUAGUUUGAAGAAACAGAUGAGACUCUGGACAAAGACUGCAAGCAAAGGAAGAACCAGUCACUUCACACAGAGCAUGGGAGUUUUGGCAUCACCAGUUAUCCUUUAGGCAUGGAAGAGCUUUCCAUCAUUACUCCAAUGUCUAACUACCACUGUCGCUUCAAAAAAGCCUCUCAAGAAAAAAGAAAACUGAGGCCCAUCGAGGUUAAAUAACUCACCCAAGUUAAACCGGAUAAUCAAAGGCAGAAACUGGGAUUUGAACUGGAUAAUCUGCUUCAGAGCCAAUGUCCUUAACUAUAAGCUUUAGACCUUCUGCCUCCUACAUAAGUCUAUUAGAAGAAUCAAAUAAGAACAUCUGAGUGAAAGUGAAUUUUAAGGCAUCGGCAGAUGUAAAGAGUUUAUAUUAGUAAUGGACUCCUGAAACAUGCGGCGUGGUUGAGGAUUGGGCUUGCACAUAAGAGCCCUUGCCAGCAUGUGAAUGCUGUGACCAAUCCCUUAGUAAGUGUGGCAAGUAUUAGAAUAAUUUAUUUCACUUGAGUCUUAUUUGAAUUUUAGCAUUUUAUCAUAUUAGCCUCAAGGAACUGAACAGAGGAGUUCAUGCAAAACCCCAGUGACGUUCUUUUUAUAUUUUACUACAGAUAGUCUGCUCUUCCCAGAAAUUCCUUGAAGGUAGAAACUGUAACUUUUACCACAUGCUAUGUCCUGCAGGGCUAUCUCAGGGCUUUGAAGAUAGAGUAGGUAGUCUAUAAAUAUUUGUUAAAUAAAUAAAUGAGUUAAUUAUAACUCUAUUUACAUUGGGCUUUUACUCAAAUAAAAUAUCAACUUUAUUUUUGGAGUGUCUUGGUUGCCAGGGACAUUUUUAUAUACACAGAAGCCUCCCAGCUCCCCUCAUCCCACUUCCCACCAGCAUUUUCCUGUAGUAACUGCCAUCACAAUCUUGAGUAUAGAGAAAGCAGAGUUUAACUCAAAUGUUCUUUAAUAGCAGCAUCUCUACUGAGUGGAAGGGAAAUUGAUUAUGAUGGUUGUCAGAAUGCAAGAAAAUAAGUUAAAAUCUAGACAUGGACUAAAUGGUAUCUCUGACUUUAAAGAAUCAAGUUCCACUUAUCAGUAACUUAAGAGCACUCCAAAUGCAUAGAACAGAUAGAAACACAAUGCAGAAGUACAAGACCCAUUUGCAGAAAAUCAAAGCUCAUCCAUACAUUUUUCUUUUCUUUCUUCUUUUGGUAGUAUGUGUUAAAAGAAUUCACAGCAUCCCUUUAUCUGGGUUAAUAACAGUAUAAACCUGAAUGUUUUACAGUGGGAAUUGAAAAUUCCUGAUAAGUACAAACAAAAGCAGAGUAUUCAUUUUUGGCUUCAGCUGUGCCAGGAUGUAUCUUCCAGCGCAGGGUCUUUGGGGGUAAGGGCAGCGUAAAACCCUGCAGAGGUGAGGAGCGAGAGCAAGCAGAUCCAAACCGACCAGUUCUCCCUGGAUGUUCACUCCUUCCUCCACACUCCCUUUUCCGCUUGCAUAGAUUGCCUUCUCCAGUGCAGCAUGUGUUUAGGAUUAAAGAUCUAAAACCUCAAUGGAUGGUUUUUCUCAUGGGGUGACAGCAAAUGGAAGUGAUCAAAAUUGGUUUUGUGCUCUAUGGAGCUCUCUGCCCGACACUUAAAUUCGCCAGGACUGACAAACAGGGCCUGCCCUUGGGUCCUUCUUCAGUGCUGAUAACUAGACAUAGCAGCUGAUGUGCCUAAGGCUAGGGGAACAGGAGUUUACAAGCUCAAACAGCAACACUCUAGACUUCUGUGGAUUACCUUAGUUCAAAAGAAAAGGGUAACAUAUACAGAAUUAGAACAAAGGACCAAUGAUUUAGGGUAUGUCCAACAGAUGUCCAAAGGAAUCUAAGGGAAGAUACUGGCAUUAUAAGAAAGAUCAUAAAUAAAUUGUAGUAUUAUGUAAAAAUACACCAACUGAAAUGAAGAAGGAACACAUUAAUUGAUAUCAGGAACACAUAGCAUAAGUAUGAGGAGGAAUCCAGCUUGGGGGAAAACGACAGGGAGUUAAAAGAACAGAUACAAACUCCGGCCCGGAAGACACCAGAAAAAGAUUAAGAUAUGAAAUAUACAUAAAAAUAUAUAUAUAUAAAAUCAGAGCUAUAAGGUAUGGAAGACAGAGUUUAAACUGUCAGAACACACACUAGACGUCCCAUAGGAGAGAAAAUUAAAAAUGGAUAUGAGAAAAUACAUUUUAAAAUGAAUAAAAAGCUGGUAUUAAAGAUAAAAAGACCUGAGUUGAAACUGUCAGAUAGGAGAACAAAGGAAACAUUUAAACAUAUUUAGACAAAUUUAGACAUAUUAUGGAACAUUUUUACAAUAUCAAAGAAGAGGGAAAAAAUUAAAUGCUUCUAGGAGAAAAAGGAGGUUAUCUCUUAAAAGAAUAGGACUCAGAGUGGCAUCAGAAUUGUUCCCAGUGAUGCAAGAUGUAAGAAGGAAAUAGAGAUCUUUUGGACUGAAGGAAGAUAAUUUUGCACUAAAUCUUCUAUCAUGUGUAUAACUGUAACAAAAAUAUUUUCAACCAUAUCUCAACCAUGUCUUAAAUCAUUCAUCACAUGUGGUAAAAUACUUUUGAGAGGAAAUAAUAAAAUAGUGAGACAGGAAAUGCUACUAGAGAUAUGUGAAUUAAGGGUAUUCAGUUAUUUAGAUGAAGUUUGUUGGUGUUAAUAAUAAAGGUAUGAUCAGAGAAAGAAAAAAUAUUAUAUCUAUAUUAUAUAUAUGAAAUAAAAUUAAUUGAUGAUUGGUAAUUAAUUGAUAAUAAGGUAGUGGCAGUAAAUUAACAUGGAGAGUGAUCUUCAAUUAAUAACAACAACCUAAGAUAUAAAAAUAAGAGCACUAAUAUCUAAGGCAGAAAAUGACCUCUAUCAAAAAGAAAAGAAGGGGAACAUAGGAAACAAAAGAGGUUGCAAAUAGAAUAUAUACAAUGUCAAGAAAUAAUUGGGUAGUUCAUGCUGUGAAACCAAUCCAACUAGUAUCCAUGAGGAUGCGGAUUGAAUCCCUGGCCUUGCUGAGUAGGUUAAAGA